AAAAAAAAAAAAAAAAAACCAAAUCUUAGUCCAGAUGAGAUCAAGAAAGUGUCAUGUAGAUGUAGUGCUACUUAAGACCAACUAACAAGGAAGAACUAAUAAAUAACAAUGUCACAUUCAGUCACCAGCUGGAACUGAUGAACUGUGUUUGAUAGACACAUUCAGAGUGAUUCAGUAUGAAGAAUGACUUUCCUUGGACAGAAGUAUCAAAACCCUAUAAACUCAUGAAAUGAAAAUGUCAAAAACCAAAAAUUGCACCACGUUAAGUGCAACAGAACUAAAAUGACAAGUUGUCUUCACACACAUUUUGAACAACAAAAAUAGGGAAGUAGGCUUUCCUACCUUUCAGUCACACCUAAAUUAAGAAGCAAGGCCAUUGCCCAAAAGCCAACUAUCAUUAUCCAAGCUCACUUUUACCACAGGAAUGGCAAUUGCAGCAAAUAUAACCAGCAUGUUUCUAGAUGAAAUGAUCAUUCACAGGAAGAUCACCAACACAGAUCACCAUUUUGAGAGAGAGAGAGAGAGAG
RNAcentral lists this unclassified non-coding RNA (527 nucleotides) under Hevea brasiliensis (rubber tree). Lineage: Eukaryota; Viridiplantae; Streptophyta; Magnoliopsida; Malpighiales; Euphorbiaceae. The record is from RNAcentral.